Molecule: unclassified non-coding RNA, 235 nt
Filed under: uncultured fungus
Lineage: Eukaryota; Fungi
Also listed under: 1 other name
Description: partial contains 5.8S ribosomal RNA, internal transcribed spacer 2, and large subunit ribosomal RNA
Rfam family: 5.8S ribosomal RNA (bases 1-52)
Source: RNAcentral
AACGCACAUUGCGCCCUGUGGUAUUCCGCAGGGCAUGCCUGUUCGAGCGUCAUUUCAACCCUCAAGCUCUGCUUGGUGUUGGGCCACGCCCUCGCGGCCGGCCCCAAAGCCAGUGGCGGCGCCGUCCGGCUCUAAGCGUAGUACAUCUCUCGCUCUAGGGCCCGGCGGCUGCCUGCCAGAACCCCAAACUCUUAUGGUUGACCUCGGAUCAGGUAGGGAUACCCGCUGAACUUAA